CCAGCUGGAUCGCAAGGUCUUCCUGGUACUGAAGGGACAGAUGGUUCCCCAGGUGCUAAGGGCCCUACUGGAUCUCCAGGGACUGGAGGCCCCCUUGGUUUAUCAGGUCCACCUGGUUCCC
Pezoporus occidentalis (night parrot) is the source of this 121-nucleotide long non-coding RNA. RefSeq lists it as uncharacterized. NCBI's taxonomy places the organism in Eukaryota, Metazoa, Chordata, Aves, Psittaciformes, Psittacidae. The record is from RefSeq and is a predicted model, not a curated record. The transcript is spliced from 3 exons.